Molecule: ribosomal RNA, 597 nt
Filed under: uncultured Basidiomycota
Lineage: Eukaryota; Fungi; Basidiomycota
Description: LSU rRNA
Rfam family: Eukaryotic large subunit ribosomal RNA
Source: RNAcentral
UCUCAAAUCAGGUAGGACUACCCGCUGAACUUAAGCAUAUCAAUAAGCGGAGGAAAAGAAACUAACAAGGAUUCCCCUAGUAACGGCGAGUGAAGCGGGAAGAGCUCAAAUUUAAAAUCUGACGGUGUAUUCCGUCCGAGUUGUAGCCUAGAGAAGCAUCAUCCGCGCUGGACCAUGUACAAGUCUCUUGGAACAGAGCGUCAUAGAGGGUGAGAAUCCCGUCCUUGACAUGGACUCCCAGUGCUUUGUGUUGUGCUCUCGACGAGUCGAGUUGUUUGGGAAUGCAGCUCAAAAUGGGUGGUAAAUUCCAUCUAAAGCUAAAUAUUGGCGAGAGACCGAUAGCGAACAAGUACCGUGAGGGAAAGAUGAAAAGCACUUUGGAGAGAGAGUUAAACAGUACGUGAAAUUGUUGAAAUGGAAACGCUUGAAGUCAGUCGCGUUCUCUGGGAUUCAGCCUUGCUUCUGCUUGGUGCAUUUCCUAGUUUACGGGCCAACAUGAAUUUUGACCAGUGGAAAAGGAUUUGGGGAAUGUGGCACCUCCGGGUGUGUUAUAGCCCCUUGUCGCAUACAUUGGUUGGGAUUGAGGUUUCAGUGCAC